This 440-nucleotide ribosomal RNA is filed under the name uncultured bacterium. RNAcentral describes it as "bacterial SSU rRNA". It matches the Rfam family "Bacterial small subunit ribosomal RNA", at positions 338 to 786 of the family's 1533-position model. The record is from RNAcentral.
CCUACGGGGGGCUGCAGUCGAGGAUCUUCGGCAAUGGGCGCAAGCCUGACCGAGCGACGCCGCGUGUGCGAUGAAGGCCUUCGGGUUGUAAAGCACUGUCGAGGGGGAGGAAAGCCGCAAGGUCUGACCUAUCCCUGGAGGAAGCACGGGCUAAGUUCGUGCCAGCAGCCGCGGUAAGACGAACCGUGCGAACGUUGUUCGGAAUCACUGGGCUUAAAGGGCGCGUAGGCGGGCCACCAAGUCCGGGGUGAAAUCUUUCGGCUCAACCGGAAAAUAGCCUUGGAUACUGGUGAUCUCGAGGGUGGUAGGGGCAUGUGGAACUUCCGGUGGAGCGGUGAAAUGCGUUGAUAUCGGAAGGAACGCCGGUGGCGAAAGCGACGUGCUGGACCACUACUGACGCUGAGGCGCGAAAGCCAGGGGAGCAAACGGGAUUAGAUACC